This 261-nucleotide ribosomal RNA is filed under the name Aplanochytrium sp. PBS07. RNAcentral's name for it is "partial Bacterial small subunit ribosomal RNA". It matches the Rfam family "Bacterial small subunit ribosomal RNA", at positions 567 to 827 of the family's 1533-position model. Lineage: Eukaryota; Bigyra; Thraustochytrida; Thraustochytriidae. The record is from RNAcentral.
GUGCGUAGGCGGCUUCUUAAGUCGGAUGUGAAAUCCCUGAGCUUAACUUAGGAAUUGCAUUCGAUACUGGGAAGCUAGAGUAUGGGAGAGGAUGGUAGAAUUCCAGGUGUAGCGGUGAAAUGCGUAGAUAUCUGGAAGAACACCGAUGGCGAAGGCAACCUCCUGGGCCUGUUUUGACGCUGAGGCACGAAAGCGUGGGUAGCAAACAGGAUUAGAUACCCUGGUAGUCCACGCCCUAAACGAUGUCGACUGGUUGUUGGG